RNAcentral lists this ribosomal RNA (119 nucleotides) under Pteropus alecto (black flying fox). Lineage: Eukaryota; Metazoa; Chordata; Mammalia; Chiroptera; Pteropodidae. The record is from RNAcentral.
GUUUACAGCCAUGCCACCCUGAACAAGCCCAACCCCAUCUGAUCUCAGAAGCUAAACAGAUCCGGGCCUGGUUAGUACUUGGAUGGGAGACCACCUAAGAAGACUAGGUACUGUAGGCA